CGCAGGCAGGUAGAUUGACUCGCUCCCGGCAGAAACGGGAAGACUCCCAAUCCUGCGAUCCGGAUUCCAGGCCUCUCGUUAGCACCGUCCCAGGAGUGGCUCAAAAAGCGGAGCACUGGAACCCGCGGAACGGGAUACGAAGCGCAGCCUCCGGACCGGUGAAAAAACCAGAUGAGAAAAAGAAUGUUCAGAGAACAAAGGUGGCUUUUUGAGAUUACACAGCAAGCCAGUGAAGACCCAGGUGUGGAAUGGGUCUCUCCACGCCCCGUGUUCUUCCCAUUUUACCACAUCACCAUCGGAGACUUGUCCAAACGACCCACCGUGCCUCCCACAGAGCCAAGUCCAAGCGAGGUGUUGCUCCCACAUCAGGGGGAACUGUGAGAGACGAACGAGGCAGCAGUUCAGAAGCUCGGUGGGCACUGUGGUGUCCAUGCUGGGUCACGUCGCUUCGGUCCACCUGGGGUCCAAAGACACGGUGACACAGG
Molecule: long non-coding RNA, 485 nt
Organism: Mirounga angustirostris (Northern elephant seal)
Lineage: Eukaryota; Metazoa; Chordata; Mammalia; Carnivora; Phocidae
Exons: 3
Source: RefSeq, a predicted model, not a curated record